RNAcentral lists this ribosomal RNA (492 nucleotides) under uncultured bacterium. RNAcentral describes it as "partial 16S ribosomal RNA". It matches the Rfam family "Bacterial small subunit ribosomal RNA", at positions 29 to 507 of the family's 1533-position model. The record is from RNAcentral.
AGUGAACGCUGGCGGUAGGCCUAACACAUGCAAGUCGAACGGCAGCACAGUAAGAGCUUGCUCUUACGGGUGGCGAGUGGCGGACGGGUGAGGAAUACAUCGGAAUCUACUUUUUCGUGGGGGAUAACGUAGGGAAACUUACGCUAAUACCGCAUACGACCUACGGGUGAAAGCAGGGGAUCUUCGGACCUUGCGCGAUUGAAUGAGCCGAUGUCGGAUUAGCUAGUUGGCGGGGUAAAGGCCCACCAAGGCGACGAUCCGUAGCUGGUCUGAGAGGAUGAUCAGACACACUGGAACUGAGACACGGUACAGACUCCGACGGGAGGCAGCAGUGGGGAAUAUUGGACAAUGGGCGAAAGCCUGAUCCAGCAAUACCGCGUGAGUGAAGAAGGACUUAGGGUUGUAAAGCCCUGUUGUUGGGAAAGAAAAGCAGCAGGUUAAUACCCCGCUGUUAUGACGGUACCCAAAGAAUAAGCACCGGCUAACUUCGUG